This 519-nucleotide unclassified non-coding RNA is filed under the name Senecio inaequidens. RNAcentral's name for it is "partial external transcribed spacer". Lineage: Eukaryota; Viridiplantae; Streptophyta; Magnoliopsida; Asterales; Asteraceae. The record is from RNAcentral.
CAUUCUGGGGGUUGUUUUGGCUAUUGGUUGCUUGCUUGGCAUUGUGCUAGGUAGGUGGUCGCUAGUUAGAUGAUCUUCGGGGAUGCUAACCGUAAAGGUGCAUGAGUGGUGAUUGGUUUGUUACGGGUGGUUGGCUCUUUGCUUGCGCAACAACUUCCACCUGGCUUACCUCCUCAGUUAUGCGUCAUGACUUGUAUCGUCUUGAGCGUAUUGUGGGUUUCCUGUGUUGCAUACCUUUCUAAUGGUAUCSUGUUGAUUGAUCGAAGUCCCUUUUCAUCUUGUGUUGCUUUUUGCGACGCAUGAUGAACCUCGAGGCGGUCUCUAUGUUCCACCACGUUGAUGCUAGCGUUUUAAUGUUGUGGCCCAUUGAGUGUUGCUUGGUUUCGUGGAUACAGAACAUGAUUUGGGCAUAGGGUUACUUGUGACUCUUGUUUUGUCCUUUAUCUGUGUUCUUUAUAACGACGGUUCAUGCGCGCCUAGGCUCGUACCUGCGCGAUGUUCUUUGUCGAAGAGGAAUGC